RNAcentral lists this ribosomal RNA (497 nucleotides) under uncultured bacterium. Its description in RNAcentral is "partial 16S ribosomal RNA". It matches the Rfam family "Bacterial small subunit ribosomal RNA", at positions 28 to 507 of the family's 1533-position model. The record is from RNAcentral.
GAUGAACGCUGGCGGCGUGCCUAAUACAUGCAAGUCGAGCGAACAGAUAAGGAGCUUGCUCCUUUGACGUUAGCGGCGGACGGGUGAGUAACACGUGGAUAACCUACCUAUAAGACUGGGAUAACUUUGGGAAACCGGAGCUAAUACCGGAUAACAUAUUGAACCGCAUGGUUCAAUAGUGAAAGGCGGCUUUGCUGUCACUUAUAGAUGGAUCCGCGCCGUAUUAGCUAGUUGGUAAGGUAACGGCUUACCAAGGCAACGAUACGUAGCCGACCUGAGAGGGUGAUCGGCCACACUGGAACUGAGACACGGUCCAGACUCCUACGGGAGGCAGCAGUAGGGAAUCUUCCGCAAUGGGCGAAAGCCUGACGGAGCAACGCCGCGUGAGUGAUGAAGGUCUUCGGAUCGUAAAACUCUGUUAUCAGGGAAGAACAAAUGUGUAAGUAACUGUGCACAUCUUGACGGUACCUGAUCAGAAAGCCACGGCUAACUACGUG